AGUCUUAUAGUUUAAAAAAAAUAUUAAUUUUGUAAAUUAAAGAUAAAUCAUAAUUUUAAUACUA
Molecule: transfer RNA, 64 nt
Filed under: Crematogaster teranishii
Lineage: Eukaryota; Metazoa; Arthropoda; Insecta; Hymenoptera; Formicidae
Description: tRNA-Thr
Source: RNAcentral